GGGUUACAAAGAUUUUGCUACCCACAGUAGCACAAUUGGAGACCCACCCCGAGGCUGCGGACCCGAGGAGACCCUUGACCCGACAAGAGCCCCAGGUGCCUAUACCAGAUUCCAUUUUCAGUUCAGGCCCAAAUCCCCAGGGGUUAGUCGGCUUAGAGGCGGAGCUCAGCGGCCUGGGCUGUCAGCGACCACGAGGACAGGGUCUCACACACUCCAUUGUAUACACAGCUGCGACCUGGACCCGGACUGGAGCCUCCUGCGCGAGUAUGAACAUAUCCUACAACGGCGCCAGUUACCUCGUCCUAAACCAGAAGAUGCGCUCUUGGACCGCAGCGGACAAGGCGGCUCAGAUGCCCUGGCGGAGGAACAUGCAGAGCUGGUCAAAACCUACCUGCAGGGAAGGUGGGCGGAGUGGCUCAGCAAGGCCUUAAGAAUGGGACGGAGACGCUGCAGAAUGCAAAAUCCCCCAAAACACACGUGACCCACCACCCCAUCUCAGACCAUGAGGCCACCCUGAGGUGCUGGGCCCUGGGCUUCUACCCUGUGGAGAUCACACUGACCCAGCAGCAGGAUCGGAAGGACCAAAUUCAGGAUGCAGAGCUUAUGGGGACCAGACCUACAGGGUAUAGAACCUUCCAGAAGUGGGCAACUGUGGUGGUGUCUUCUGGAGAAGAGCAGAGAUACGCAUGCCAUGUGCAGCACGAGGGGCUGCCAGAGCCACUCACCCUGAGAUUGCCUAAGGAGACGAAUGAGGGGUCAUGGCCAUCUUCCCAGCCCACAUUCCCCAUUGUGGGCAUCGUUACUGUCCUGGUUGUUCUUGGUGCUGUGGUCCCGGGUGCUGUGGUCGCUGCUGUGAUGUGGAAGAAUAAGAGCCCAGGUAGGAAAGAGGUGAGCUCCUAGUUUCUUCUUUCAUUGGUGGAUUUCAAGUCCCAGAUGGAAGUUGGCUCCUUUCCUGCCUAGUUGUGAGGCACCAUCUCCAUGCACAUUUACCCUGUUCAGAUGCCCUGUCAACUCUUACUCUUUUGUAAAGCACCUGUGAAAUUGAAGGACAGAUGUAUCACCAUGAUUGUGGACAUGGGAACCUGAC
RNA transcript from Piliocolobus tephrosceles (Ugandan red Colobus), 1087 nucleotides. It is a transcript of the gene named class I histocompatibility antigen, B alpha chain-like, with no coding region annotated. NCBI's taxonomy places the organism in Eukaryota, Metazoa, Chordata, Mammalia, Primates, Cercopithecidae. The record is from RefSeq and is a predicted model, not a curated record. The transcript is spliced from 4 exons.